RNAcentral lists this long non-coding RNA (460 nucleotides) under Homo sapiens (human). Its description in RNAcentral is "non-protein coding lnc-FAM153C-3:1". Lineage: Eukaryota; Metazoa; Chordata; Mammalia; Primates; Hominidae. The record is from RNAcentral.
CUGAGGAGGGAGCGUGGCAGAGGGAAUGAUGGCCGUGGUGAUAUUGAGGAGGGAGCGUGGCAGAGGGAACGAUGGCCAUGGUGACACUGAGGAGGGAGCGUGGCAGAGGGAACGAUGGCCAUGGUGACACUGAGGAGGGAGCGUGGCAGAGGGAACGAUGGCCAUGGUGACAUUGAGGAGGGAGCUGGCAGAGGGAACGAUGGCCAUGGCUGACAUUGAGGAGGGAGCGUGGCAGAAGGAACGAUGGCCAUGGUGACACUGAGGAGGGAGCGUGGCAGAGGGAACGAUGGCCGUGGUGACACUGAGGAGGGAGCGUGGCAGAGGGAACGAUGGCCGUGGUGACACUGAGGAGGGAGCGUGGCAGAGGGAACGAUGGCCGUGGUGACACUGAGGAGGGAGCGUGGCAGAGGGAACGAUGGCCGUGGUGACACUGAGGAGGGAGCGUGGCAGAGGGAACGAU